This 253-nucleotide ribosomal RNA is filed under the name uncultured bacterium. Its description in RNAcentral is "partial 16S ribosomal RNA". It matches the Rfam family "Bacterial small subunit ribosomal RNA", at positions 524 to 776 of the family's 1533-position model. The record is from RNAcentral.
GACAGAGGUGGCGAGCGUUGUUCGGAUUUACUGGGCGUAAAGCGUGGGUAGGCGGUUCGGUCAGUCAGAUGUGAAAUCCCAUCGCUCAACGGUGGAACUGCGUCUGAUACUGCCAAACUUGAGUGCAGGAGAGGAGGGUGGAAUUUCCGGUGUAGCGGUGAAAUGCGUAGAUAUCGGAAGGAACACCAGUGGCGAAGGCGGCCCUCUGGACUGCAACUGACGCUGAGACACGAAAGCGUGGGGAGCAAACAGG